GUUGUGAGGAUUCGUUCGACUACGUCCGUUUGUCUUCUUCAUGGACUCGUUCUUCUUCCUAGCGGGAUUUCAGGCAAGAUGACCAUACCCUCGAAAUCACUUCUAUCUUUGCUUGCUAGUUGUUCGUUCUACCGCUAUGUCGUGCUACCUUCCACUUGUUAUAUCAUGCCUCACAUAUUGCCAUGUCAAGCCUCUAACUCACCUUCCUAGCAAAUCGUUGUUUGGCUAUGUUAUCGCUUUGCUUAGCCCCUCUUAUAGCGUUGCCAGUUGCAGGUGAAGUUGAAGUUUGUUCCAGGUUUGGAACAUGGAUAUGUUGGGAUAUAACAAUAUCUAUUAUUUUAAUUAAUGCAUCUAUAUACUUGGUAAAGGGUGGAAGGCUCGGCCUUAUGCCUGGUGUUUUGUUCCAGUCUUGCCGCCCUAGUUUCCGUCAUACCGGUGUUAUGUUCCCUGAUUUUGCGUUCCUAACGCGGUUGGGUGUUAUCGGAACCCCUUAACAGUUCGCCUUGAAUAAAACUCCUCUAGCAAGGCCCAACCUUGGUUUUACAUUUGCCUAACAAUCUAUCACCUUCCCUUGGGUUCUGCAGACCUACGGGUCAUCUUUAUUUUAAGCCCCCGGGCCAGUGCUUCUUUAAGUGUUGGUCCAAACUAGAGUGUAACGCCCCGAGACCGAUGUGCCAGGUGUCGUGCAGUUAUUCGCUGUUGUUGCCUUGUCAUUGCUUGCGUGUCAUGCAUUUGCAUAUCAUGUCAUCAUGUGCAUUGCAUUUGCAUACGUGUUCGUCUCAUGCGUUCGAGCAUUUUCCCCGUUGUCUGUUUUGCAUUCCGGCGCUUCGUUCUCCUCCGGUGGUCAUUUUUAACUUUCUUUCGUGUGUGGGGAUUAACCAUUUCCGGAUUGGACCGAGACUUGCCAAGCGGCCUUGGUUUACUACCGGUAGACCGCCUGUCAAGUUUCGUAUCAUUUGGACUUCGUUUGAUACUCCAACGGUUAACCGAGGGACCGAAAAGGCCUCGUGUGUGUUGCAGCCCAACACCCCUCCAAUUUUUCCCAAAACCCACCUAACUCUGCUCCAUCAUCUAGAGCGUUCGAUCACGAUCGCGUGGCUGAAAACUGCACCUCAUUUGGACUCUCCUAGCUCCCUCUAUGCCUAUAAAUAGGUCCUCCUCGAAAAUCUCGGACCCCCCUCGUCCAAAACCCUAGAGAUCCACCUCGCGCGCACCGGACAUGUCCGCCGCCGCCCGCGGCCUCUAGCCGCCUGCCACGUGGCAAGCCGCCACCGCCCGAGGCCCGCGCGGCCCAGCCGGGGCCCCGCGGCCCGCAGACGCCGCGUCGCCCGCGCCCUUCUCCUCCCCGACGCCGCUCGCCCUCCGCCGCCAUCGCCUUCCCCUUGCCCGGAUCCGGCCGCCUCCGUCAACUCCGGCGGCCCGUGCAGCUACUCUGGCGAAGAUCCGGUCGACCUCGGAUUGCGUGCCACCGAAACCCUAGAUCUGGUGGUUCCUUUUUUUCCUCCAUGUCCCAAAAAUUCCAGAUCCAAGUGCUCUUGUUCAUAGCCUCGUAACUUUGCAUCCGUAGCUCCGAUUCAUGCAUAUAGCAUAUCAAAAUGUUCAUCUCAGGGAGUACAUCAUUUAAUUCCAUUGCAUCCUUUUGAUUUGAGUUCAUCUUGAUGCCCGAAAUGCUGUUAUAAGAGGGCUACUUGAGAUAAUUGUCAGAUCUGCUACUCCAUUUAGGUUUUUGUCAUUUUUUCCAUGAUUAAUGUGUGCAUGAUAUGCCCUGAUGCUCUACAUAUGUUUUGUAAAGGGUUUUGUCAUAUUUCCAGAGGUGCAACCCAUUUAUUUUUCUGAUGUGUGUGGUGACUAGCACAAGCUUGCAAAGUGGUGCACUUGGUAAUUCUGUUUUCAGGGACUUAGCAUUUCCACUAAGUCCUUGAUCUGUUUAUCUCAUGAUGCCAUAUGUUCAUGUUGUUUCCUAGUGAUCCGUGCCUCUUUUGAGGAUGAUCAGUAAGGAGGUUUUGUUAAUCUUGUAGUGCUCUAUCCAUCCAUGUCUUUGUUUGCAUUUAUGGAGUACCCUAGCUUGAGUCAAUCGAGCUCUACUUUUGCUAAUUUGUGAAUCUGGGCAGAUUGUCAACUUGUUUGCAAUUUUGCCGAUGAUGUUGUAGUUGAUCCGUGCAUGCUAUGCUUUUGUUCUUGUCAUGUCUAGCUUGAAUUUUGUGUGUUCUUGAUGGGUGUAUGCUUAGUUUUUCAUGACUUGCACCGUAGUGAGUGCAUCGAGCUCGUAAACAUGCCUACUUGAUAUCUGUUUUCAGCAUGCUCUAGUUUUCACCAAGUGUGAAAACUGUUUAUGUUUUUGCUAUAUUCACAUGCUUGCAAUUGAAUUUUCUGAUCCCUUUUGGCUCAAGGUCACUAAGGGACUUUUGUUAAGAUCUUUGAGUAGAUCCAUGCCAUGCUUUACUUUGCCAUGUUCAGGUCCUGUAGCAUGUAGUUUUGUUGCUCCGAAGAGUGCUAUCUGAUCUGAAAUUCCAGACAAGUGUUGAUUUCACCAAGUCUGAGAUCUGUUUGCCAUAUGCAUUUUUGGCCAUGCUUGUUUGAACCUGUUAAUGGAUGAAUUGGCCGUAGCUCAGUGCUAGACUUUUGUUAAGCAUCAUGAAUGCAUCCCUUUCAUGUAUUUUGUUGUCAUGUUUGAGUGUUGUAGCAUGUUCAUCUCGUUGCAUUUAGAUGGCUACUUGCUGUAAAUCGCAGACCGGUGUCAAUUUUGAAUCGCUUGACAUUUCCAAACCGUAACUCCGAUUCCGGCGUUCUUUAUAUCGUUUUCAAGCAGUUUCAUCUCCAUCUUCCCAGUGGCACACUUGGAUUUCCAAGUUGAGGCCGGGUUCUUGCAUUUCCUGUCAUAUCUUGCAUAUGCAUCCCGCAUCGCAUCCCGCAUAGCAUAUCAUCAUUGCAUCACAUUGUUUGAUCCUUGCACGUGGUUGAUUGUGUCCUUUUUGCUUGUUUGUCUUGGUUGGGUAGAGCCGGGAGACGAGUUCGCUAACGAGGAGCCCGUUGAGUUUUCUUUCAAGGAUCCAGUCAACUCUGACAACUGUGCAGGCAAGAUGAUCAUACCCUCGAAAUCACUACUAUCUUUGCUAUGCUAGUUUGCUCGCUCUUUUGCUAUGCCAAUGCUACGAUGCCUACCACUUGCUUUCAAGCCUCCCAAAUUGCCAUGUCAAACCUCUAACCCACCUUGUCCUAGCAAACCGUUGAUUGGCUAUGUUACCGCUUUGCUCAGCCCCUCUUAUAGCGUUGCUAGUUGCAGGUGAAGAUUGGAGGUCGUUCCUUGUUGGGUCAUUUAUUUACUUGUUGGGAUAUCAUUAUAUUUCCAUGUUAUCUUAAUGCAUCUAUAUACUUGGUAAAGGGUGGAAGGCUCGGCCUCUCGCCUAGUGUUUUGUUCCACUCUUGCCUGCCUAGUUUCCGUCAUAUCGGUGCUAUGUUCCCGGAUUUUGCGUUCCUUACGUGGUUGGGUUAUAAUGGGAACCCCUUGAUAGUUCGCCUUGAUUAAAGCUUUUCCAGCAAUGCCCAACCUUGGUUUUACCAUUUGCCACCUAGCCUCUUUUUCCAUUGGGUUUCCGGAGCCCGAGGGUCAUCUUAUUUAACCCCCCCGGGCCAGUGCUCCUCUGAGUGUUGGUCCAACCUAGAGCCCCUUGCAGCGCCACCUCGGAGAAACUUGAGGGCUGAUUUUAGUUGUACGGAUUGCUUAUCUGAGUGUGCCCUGAGAACGAGUUAUGUGCAGCUCCUAUCGGGAUUUGUCGGCACAUUCGGGGUGUGUUGCUGGUCUUGUUUUAACCUGUUGAAGUGUCUUGAAGAACCGAGAUACCGAGUCUGAUCGGAACGUCUUGGGAGGAGGUCUAUUCCUUCGUUGACCGUGAGAGCUUGUCAUGGGCUAAGUUGGGACUCCCCUGCAGGGAUUUGAACUUUCGAAAGCCGUGCCCGCGGUUAUGGGCAGAUGGGAAUUUGUUAAUGUCUGGUUGUAGAUAACUUGAACCUUAACUUAAUUAAAAUGAAUCAACUAAGUGUGUUACCGUGAUGGCAUCUUCUCGGCGGAGUCCGGGAAGUGGACACGGUGUUGGAGUAAUGUUUGCGCAGGUUUCUCUCUAGUUUCUCGCUCGCGCUUUGCCUCCUCUUCUCGCUCUCUUUUGCGAAUAAGUUAGCCACCAUAUUUUGCUAGUCGCUUGCUGCAGCUCCACUUAUAUUUACCUUGCCAUACCUAUAAGCUUAAAUAGUCUUGAUCGCGAGGGUGCGAGAUUGCUGAGUCCCUGUGGCUCACAGAUUACUAUUACACCAGAUGCAGGGCCUGAUGAUUUCGCUCCAGGAGACGCGUUUGAGCUCAAGUGGGAGUUUGACGAGGACUCUCAAUAUUACUAUGUUUCCUUUCCUGAUGAUCAGUAGUGGUGCCCAGUUGGGGGUGAUCGGGACCGUGUCGCAUGUUGGGUUCUCUUUUAUUUUGGCGCCGUAGUCGGGCCAUGAGUGUUUGGAUGAUGUAAUGUUAUUUAUGUUCUUGCUUGACGUGGCGAGUGUAAGCCAACUAUGUUAUCUCCCCUUUAUUAUUUAUAUUACAUGAGAUGUUGUGAAGAUUGCCUAACUUGCGACAUAUGCCUUCAAUGCGAUUAUGUCUCUAAGUCGUGGCUCGACACGUGCGAGCUAUAGUCACAUCGAGGGUGUUACAAGUUGGUAUUAGAGCCUUCCCCGACCUUAGGAGCCCCAUUGCUUGAUCGUUUUUAGCGGCCGAGUUAUGUCUAGAAAUAUGUUUUGAGUCAUUUAGGAAUUAUAUAUCGGAGAGUUUAGGAAUUCUUUUUACUUCCCAGUCUCCUCAUCGCUCUGGUAAGGCAUCCUGACGUAGAGUUUUGACUCUUCUCUUCUCAAAUUUCACUAAAAAAAUUUUAGGCUCACGCGGGUAUCUUGGAAUCGUUCCGAUGGUUUUAUGAUGAGAACACUGUCUUGGUGCCUCCUGUCAGGGGUUUAGUGGAAGUGUCCCGGGGAGUUGAGCUCUGAGGUGUUUUCAUCAUAAUUUUAUCGUUGCAGUUCUGGAAUACCUGAGUUUAGUACGCCGACAUCGAAAAUCUCUUUUAUGCAGUUCGUUGGUGAGAUAACCUCGACGCCACCCAGUACUGGGGCGGGAGUUCGGGAGUAUCGCCAUAACUUGUAUAACGGAUUCUUUUCGAAGGUUGAGGUAGAUGUUUUCCAAAGGUUUCUUGGUUAUGUGUUGAAGGAUGGAUACAGCUGGAUGUAGGAUUUGCUAGAUUUGGAUGAGAUAUUAUGCUUCCCCUGUAUCCCCAACACCUGAUUGCAUAACCGGAAAAUUUCGGGAGUUUCAUAGGUGGGAAUUCAAGUAGCUCUUAGGAUAUCUUUCCGAUGGAUAUAUGAUAUGAAAUUGGGGUUCGACGUCUAGUGGUCCGCCUAUUCACGGUCGAUUUUAUAGUGGUCUCGUUGUGUCAUAAAGAGUCCUUGGCUAUGCCGACUCGAGGACGCUUCGUAUGUCAUGUGCACUGCCUUGUAUAUGAUGGUGCUGUACGAUCGAGCCCGUGUAGGCCCCACCACGAAAACUUCGGAUGAAAUCUCUAUCAUAUGUUUGUUCCGGCUUAUUCUGCAAGCCAACCUUUUGUUUUUGUUUUGGGUUGUGGUAUUCGAGUUGCUUCGAAGUCAAAUGUUGAUUCCAUACCUUUCCUAAGCGGUGUUCUCAUAUUCCUAUGUGAAUACUAAUCCUUCAUGAUAAUCGAGAUUGGCAUGUCAUUUCUUUCCAACCGGCGUGUUUCUCUUCAAGUGGAUCUGAUCAUUUCAACAUCCGCAAGAUCAAGUAUCAGUUCUUCUCAACGCUGUUUGUUUCAUCCAUCUCCAAGUUGCCUUUGUUUUUUCCCGCCCACCCACCCUUUUUCUUCAAGGAAUUCGAUGUCUUAAUGAAGUAUCCUUUUAUUCUUGUGAAGUCUCUCCAUCCUUUCCUUCAAUGUUCUUAUUCGGCGAUUCUCAUGAAGAUACUAACGGAGCUUCUAGUUCAUCAUUCUUCUUUCUUUUAUCUUCUCCGGUGGUUUCAAGUCAAGCUUUGUUGAUCUUACCCUUUUCCUCAUUUCAAUACCUUCUCAUGCCGGUGCACCUCAUAUUCAUUCACUUCUCGUUAUUCAUUUGUUCCGGAGUGCUCAAGAUAUCUCGAAGAUUCAUGUUACCACUCUGCUUUCGUUCAAACUCUUUUGAGGAUGUUAUAUCAUUUAAGUCAUUUAAUUCAACCGGUGUAAUCUCUCCUUCAAAUUGUUCUACGAUGUUUCUUUUGAGUGGGCCCUAACCCACAGGUCUUUUCCUAGGAUCUUACCUGACUCUUCUUAUUUUCCCGGAGGUAUUCUCAAAUUCCUUUUGAAGUUUGACAUAAGGAUGAAUUAUCAUCAGUCAAAUGUAUUUCUCCAAGAACUUUCAAAUUCUUUUCAUCGUUGGCUCAAUCUUUCCAUUCGUCAUUUCGGAGUGUCUAAAUAAUUCAUGGUGGUGUUUUCGUCAUCAUUCUCAACAUUUAAAGACCAAGGAAUAAUUUUCUCUUCAAUCAUAUCCGUUCUCGUGAAGAUUCGUGAUUCUAGCUUGUUGCCUUCCUCUCAUAUUUGCUUUCGAUUGUGAGAAUUCUUUUCACCCAGCCAGAGUAAUUCAGGAGUCUUUCUAGUUUGUUUCUCUGGAGCCCAUCAUUUCAGAAGAUUUAUUAAUUCUCAGCUUUCAGUUAUCAUUCUCCAAUCCUACCGGUGCAUCGUUCAAGUGUUCUCUAAUCAGCUCGUCAUCUCUUUGUUCUCAUAUAUCUAAAUUCUCUCAAGCAUCUUCAUUCAUUUGCUAAUUCUUCUCGGUGUUUUCUUUAUCUUCUCUUCGUUCAUUUUUAAGUCUUAUGGUGUUUCAUUCAAGAUUCCUCUUCUUAUGUUAUCAUACUCCCGUUCUCUCAAAUUCUACCGGUGGUUCGUUGAAGACCUUCUCAAGAUGAUGCCAUAUAUAUCCUAAUCCUUUCUUCGAGAAUAAGUAGUAUGCCAAAUCCAUUGUUGGUCAUCAAUUUAAUUGGUGAAGGAUACGCAUAACAUAGUUCUUACUCUUGUUUCACACAAGUGAUUAAUUCCUUAUUUCGGAGGCUCAUCAAAUUCUUGUUUCCAUUUGUUCAUCUUUCUUUUCCGGAGUGCCAAGUUUUCUCUUUAUCUCGUUGCUAAGCUUCAUCUAAUCAUUGCAAGGUUUUAACCUUAUUUUUCUCAUCUUUCUUUCUGUCCGAUCAUUCUUUUGUGUACCGGAGUUCUUCAUGAAGGUUCUACAUGAUGGUUCAUCUAUGAUUUAAUUCAUUCUCGAAGUGUUCAUCGAGAUUCUUUUCCAAGAAACUCAAGCUUUCUUCAUAUUGUAAUCCAGAGUGCAAUUCUUUCUUCCGUAUCUUUGGAGGUGGUAUUAUAUCAUUCUUAAUCCUUCUCUAUCUUGUUUUAACCGGAGUGGUUUCAAUAUACAUCUUGCCCUUCAACCUCAAGGUUUUUCGCAAUGUUCUUUGUCCCUCUUUUCUAACAGAGUGUUUUCAAAUUUUUCAUCUCCGUUAUUCUUUUUAUCGAAAUGGCUUAACCUUUUCAAGGUUCUUUGGUCUCACUCGUUUGUCAAAGAAGCAACUUAGUUUUACCUCUUCUCUUUCUCUUCCGUUUUUCCUUCCGGUGCCAUUCUAGAUCUCGGGACGAGAUUCUCUCAUAGUGGUGGAGUGUUGUAACGCCCCGAGACCGAUGUGCCAGGUGUCGUGCAGUUAUUCGCUGUUGUUGCCUUGUCAUUGCUUGCAUGUCAUGCAUUUGCAUAUCAUGUUAUCAUGUGCAUUGCAUUUGCAUACGUGUUCGUCUCAUGCAUUCGAGCGUUUUCCCCGUUGUCCGUUUUGCAUUCCGGCGCUUCGUUCUCCUCCGGUGGUCAUUUCUAGCUUUCUUUCGUGUGUGGGGAUUAACCAUUUCCGGAUUGGACCGAGACUUGCCAAGCGGCCUUGGUUUACUACCGGUAGACCGCCUGUCAAGUUUCGUAUCAUUUGGACUUCGUUUGAUACUCCAAUGGUUAACCGAGGGACCGAAAAGGCCUCGUGUGUGUUGCAGCCCAACACCCCUCCAAUUUUUCCCAAAACACACCUAACUCUGCUCCAUCAUCUAGAAUGUUCGAUCACGAUCGCGUGGCCGAAAACCGCACCUCAUUUGGACUCUCCUAGCUCCCUCUAUGCUUAUAAAUAGGUCCUCCUCGAAAAUCUCGGAUCCCCCCUCGUCCAAAACCCUAGAGAUCCACCUCGCGUGCACCGUACAUGUCCGCCGCCGCCCGCGGCCUCUAGCCGCCUACCACGUGGCAAGCCGCCACCGCNNNNNNNNNNNNNNNNNNNNNNNNNNNNNNNNNNNNNNNNNNNNNNNNNNNNNNNNNNNNNNNNNNNNNNNNNNNNNNNNNNNNNNNNNNNNNNNNNNNNNNNNNNNNNNNNNNNNNNNNNNNNNNNNNNNNNNNNNNNNNNNNNNNNNNNNNNNNNNNNNNNNNNNNNNNNNNNNNNNNNNNNNNNNNNNNNNNNNNNNNNNNNNNNNNNNNNNNNNNNNNNNNNNNNNNNNNNNNNNNNNNNNNNNNNNNNNNNNNNNNNNNNNNNNNNNNNNNNNNNNNNNNNNNNNNNNNNNNNNNNNNNNNNNNNNNNNNNNNNNNNNNNNNNNNNNNNNNNNNNNNNNGCGCCCUUCUCCUCCCCGACGCCGCUCGCCCUCCGCCGCCAUCGCCUUCGCCUCGCCCGGAUCCGGCCGCCUACGUCAACUCCGGCGGCCUGCGCAACUACUCCGGCGAAGAUCCGGUAGACCUUGGAUUGCGUGCCACCGAAACCCUAGAUCUGGUGGUUCCUUUUUUUCCUCUAAGUCCCAAAAAUUCCAAAUCCAAGUGCUCUUGUUCAUAGCCUCGUAACUUUGCAUCCGUAGCUCCGAUUCAUGCAUAUAGCAUAUCAAAAUGUUCAUCUCAGAGAGUAAAUCAUUUCAUUCCAUUGCAUCAUUUUCAUUUGAGUUCAUCUUGAUACCCGAAAUGCUUUUAGAAGAGGGCUACUUGAGAUAAUUGUCAGAUCUGCUACUCCAUUUAGGUUUUUGUCAUUUUUGCCAUGAUUAAUGUGUGCAUGAUAUGCCCUGAUGCUCUACAUAUGUUUUGUAAAGGGUUAUGUCAUCUUUCCAGAGGUGCAACCCAUGUAUUUUUGUGAUGUGUGUGGUCACUAGCACAAGCUUGCAAAGUGGUGCACUUGGUAAUUCUGUUUUCAGGGACUUAGCAUUUCCACUAAGUGCUUGAUCUGUUUAUCUCAUGAUGCCAUAUGUUCAUGUUGUUUCCUAGUGAUCCGUGCCUCUUUCGAGGAUGAUCAGUAAGGAAGUUUUGUUAAUCUUGUAGUGCUCUAUCCAUCCGUGUCUUUGUUUGCAUUUAUGGAGCACCCUAGCUUGAGUCAAUUGAGCUCUACUUUUGCUACUUUGUGAAUCUGGGCAGAUUGUCAACUUGUUUGCAAUUUUGCCGAUGAUGUUGUAGUUGAUCCAUGCAUGCUAUGCUUUUGUUCUUGCCAUGUCUAGCUUUCAUUUUGUGUGUUCUUGAUGGGUGUAUGCUUAGUUUUUCAUGACUUGCACCGUAGUGAGUGCAUCGAGCUCGUAAACAUGCCUACUUGAUAUCUGUUUUCAGCAUGCUCCAGUUGUCACUAAGUCUGAAAACUGUUAUUUUUUUUGCUAUGUUCACAUGCUUGCAAUUGAAUUUUCUGAUCCCUUUUGGCUCAAGGUCUCUAGGGGACUUUUGUUAAGCUCUUUGAGUAGCUCCAUGCCAUGCUUUACUUUUCCAUUUUCAGGUCCUGUAGCCUGUAGUUUUGUUGCUCCGAAGAGUGCUAUCUGAUCUGAAAUUCCAGACAAGUGUUGAUUUCACUAAGUCUGAGAUAUGUUUGCCAUAUGCAUUUUUUGCCAUGCUUGUUUGAACCUGUUAAUGGAUGAAUUGGCCGUAGCUCAGUGCUAGACUUUUGUUAAGAAUCAUGAAUGCAUCCCUGCCAUGUAUUUUGUUGUCAUGUUUGAGUGAUGUAGCAUGUUCAUCUUGUUGCAUUUAGAUGGCUACUUGCUGUAAAUCGCAGACCGGUGUCAAUUUUGAAUCGCUUGCCAUUUCCAAACCGUAACUCCGAUUCCGGCGUUCUUUAUAUCGUUAUCAAGAAAUUUCAUCUCAUCUUCCCAGUGGUAUACUUGGAUUUCCAAGUUGAGGCCAGGUUCUUGCAUUUCCUGUCAUAUCUUGCAUAUGCAUCCCGCAUCGCAUCCCGCAUAGCAUAUCAUCAUUGCAUCAUAUUGUUUGAUCCUUGCACGUGGUUGAUUGUGUCCUUGUUGCUUGUUUGUCUUGGUUGGGUAGAGCCGGGAGACGAGUUCGCUAACGAGGAGCCCGUUGAGUUUGCUUUCGAGGAUCCAGUCAACUCUGACAACUGUGCAGGCAAGAUGAUCAUACCCUCGAAAUCACUACUAUCUUUGCUAUGCUAGUUUUCUCGCUCUUUUGCUAUGCCAAUGCUACGAUGCCUACCACUUGCUUUCAAGCCUCCCAAAUUGCCAUGUCAAACCUCUAACUCACCUUGUCCUAGCAAACCAUUGAUUGGCUAUGUUACCGCUUUGCUCAGCCCCUCUUAUAGUGUUGCUAGUUGCAGGUGAAGAUUGGAGGCCGUUCCUUGUUGGGUCAUUUAUUUACUUGUUGGGAUAUCAUUAUAUUGCCAUGUUAUCUUAAUGCAUCUAUAUACUUGGUAAAGGGUGGAAGGCUCGGCCUCUCGCCUAGUGUUUUGUUCCACUCUUGCCUUCCUAGUUUCGGUCAUAUCGGUGUUAUGUUCCCGGAUUUUGCGUUCCUUACGCGGUUGGGUUAUAAUGGGAACCCCUUGUUAGUUCGCCUUGAUUAAAGCUUUUCCAGCAAUGCCCAACCUUGGUUUUACCAUAUGCCACCUAGCCUCUUUUUCCCUUGGGUUUCCGGAGCCCGAGGGUCAUCUUAUUUAAACCCCCCCGGGCCAGUGCUCCUCUGAGUGUUGGUCCAACCUAGAGCCCCACCUCGGGGAAACUUGAGGGCUGGUUUUAGUUGUACGGAUUGCUUAUCUGAGUGUGCCCUGAGAACGAGUUAUGUGCAGCUCCUAUCGGGAUUUGUCGGCACAUUCGGGCGGUGUUGCUGGUCUUUUUUUAACCUGUCGAAGUGUCUUGAAGAACCAAGAUACCGAGUCUGAUCGGAACCUCUUGGGAGGAGGUCUAUUCUUUCGUUGACCGUGAGAGCUUGUCAUGGGCUAAGUUGGGACUCCCCUGCAGGGAUUUGAACUUUCGAAAGCCGUGCCCGCGGUUAUGGGCAGAUGGGAAUUUGUUAAUGUCCGGUUGUAGAUAACUUGAACCUUAACUUAAUUAAAAUGAAUCAACUGAGUGUGUUACCGUGAUGGCCUCUUCUCGGAGGAGUCUAGGAAGUGGACACGGUGUUGGAGUAAUGUUUGCACAUGUUUCUCUCUAGUUUCUUGCUCGCGCUUUGCCUCCUCUUCUCGCUCUCUUUUGCGAAUAAGUUAGCCACCAUAUUUUGCUAGUCGCUUGCUGCAGCUCCACUUAUAUUUACCUUGCCAUACCUAUAAGCUUAAAUAGUCUUGAUCGCGAGUGUGCGAGAUUGCUGAGUCUCUGUGGCUCACAGAUUACUAUUACACCAGAUGCAGGGCCUGAUGAUUCCGCUCUAGGAGACGUGUUUGAGCUCAAGUGGGUGUUCGACGAGGAAUCUCAACGUUACUAUGUUUCCUUUCUUGAUGAUCAGUAGUGGUGCCUAGUUGGGGGUGAUCGGGACCGUGUCGCAUGUUGGGUUCUGUUUUAUUUUGGCGCCGUAGUCGGGCCAUGAGUGUUUGGAUGAUGUAAUGUUAUUUAUGUUCUUGAUUGACGUGGCGAGUGUAAGCCAACUAUGUUAUCUCCCCUUUAUUAUUUAUAUUACAUGG
RNAcentral lists this long non-coding RNA (11923 nucleotides) under Triticum aestivum (bread wheat). RNAcentral's name for it is "long non-coding RNA (TAES_LNC020596)". The record is from RNAcentral. Lineage: Eukaryota; Viridiplantae; Streptophyta; Magnoliopsida; Poales; Poaceae.